UUUUUUUUCUAUUUUCAGUCUGAAAUUUUUGUCAUGGCUAAGAGCACUGAAAGAAUGUGAUGUUUUAUCCUGUGUUAACAACUAAUCCAGGAUCAUUAUCUUGCUUCAAGUGCCACAUCAAGGCUUUGCCAAGUGCUGGUGCUGUGCAGGACAGGAGAGAAGUGGAGCUGCCCAGAACCUGUCAGCACCUCGCAGGGUGUCACCUUCAGACACAAAAACCCUCUGGGGAUCAAAGCCUGGGUGCAAGAAAUGGAAAAGUAUUUCAGUAAAGGAAUUGCUGCACAUGUCUGCCUAGCCCAGACCCAGCAUGGCACAAGCUGUUCCAAGAAGCUCAGGACAACAAGGGAAGGUGAAAUUCAACAUUCAGAGAAAACUGAUCUGAAAAUAAAUUGAGGGAAGACAGGAAAAAAACAGUGGAAAGAGCAAUAGCUGCCCAGAUUAGGGAUGCUUAAUGAUCUGCUUUAAUUGAUUUCUCUAAUUUUUAUUUAUGUAAAUUAGGAAACAAACAUUAAACUCUUCCUUAGCUCAUUAUUAUCCUUAAGCCAAAUGUAUUUCACAGCUGAACUACAGCAGAAUAUUGCACUUCAGUAAAGCCUGCAGCAACCAUGUAAAAUAGGCAAAACUUGCUGUUAAUAACUACAAAUUUUGACCAUUUAGGAGAGAAUUAAUAACAGACCCUUAAUCAGAAACAUGAUCUGAUCACAUUUAUAUUACUGUAACUAAAAAUAUUUUUGCCCUGAGGAAACGUGCCGAGCCUUCAGUGCUGAACUUAAAACAACCUCUAAACCUACAUAAAUACAUGUUCUACAAUAUUUGUUCUUCACAUCUUAGUGAGUUCCUAUUUGCUGAUCUCUAUUCAAAAAUGUUUCUUACAAACCCAACAGAAAGAAACAAGUAUAGGUUAUGCUCAGAGUGUAACAGACUAUCAAAAGAAUGAUGAAGCCAAAAUCUAACUUAAUUGCUUGCUUAAUUUAAAGUCUGCUGUCUCAAAAGAGGAACUUUCAUGCUGUGGCAGAUUGAAAAAGGUUUAAAUUAUUCAGUUUUUUACAUGACUCUUGCAGUAUUUCCAGGUGCACAUCAGAGGAAAGCUUUCAGUGCUGCAGACAGCUUGCUGGCCUGCUUGACAAUGCAAGAAAACAAAAGGAAGCCAAAACUCCCUGGAAUAAUCCUCCCAUCGUGUUUGCACUGCCACAGACAAGAUCAACAGCAAACAGCAAAACAGCAGAGUGAGAACUCCUGUUUCACAAGCACAAUAUUUAAAAUACUUCAUGUUUCUAUACAUCAACAACAAGCCACAAGUAUCAAACUGCAAAAUGCUUUCUAAUAACAGGAAUUAAAAUUUCAUAGAAUCCCAGAGGUUGGAAAAGACCUCCCAGACCAAUCUGUGAGCAAUCCCCACCUUGUCACCAGCCCAGAAAACUGAGUCCACAUCCAGUUAUUCCUUGGACACCUCCAGAGAUGGAGGCCCCAAAUCUCCCUGGGCAGCCCCUUCCAAUGCCUCACCACCCUUCCUGUGAGGAAAUUCUUCCUGAAUUCCAUCCCUAGGAGAACAUUAAUCCAUCUGGAGUCUCUCAAGUUCAGUUUCAAACCCACUCAUGGCCAAAAAGACAUUUCCCACUGCUACUUUAUGAUCCCCAACUCCCUUCUCUAAAAAUCUCUUUCCAAUCAUGCAACAGAGUUUUCCCUUCUCUCCAUGAACUAACACAUCCCAGCUCGUGGCUGCAAACCUCAGCAGCCUUUCUGAGGUUCUGUUUGCUGGAAUAUUCAGCAGCCAGGUUCAAAUACACCCAUUAGGAAAGACAAACUACUUAGGAUGUGGACAGUCCCCUGCUGAGCGUUUGUGUGGCAAUAAUGCAAUUGCACCUAACCCUCUGUCACACUCAGGGCAUUAAAAACACACCAAAAUUUGAUUUGCUGUCUUUUGCAAAUUCAUCAGGAUCCCACAAAAAUAAGAGGUGAGAAAAAAAAUUAUCUUGCAAAAUGUUUUAGGAUAAUAAACUGAAAUAAUUCUCUUCAACUCCAAAGAGGUCAUUUAAAUGUCUUUAUGUAAUGCUGAAGCUGAACACUACCAGAGAAAUGAGCAUCAAAAUCUGAAAACCAAAAUGAUAACAUACAGGUUAAGCAAGUCCAAUGAAAAAAGGUAUUAGUGGUCCAAAAUCAGAUCAUUCCACUAUAGCACUGCUUCAAUUUUAAUAAAAUCUAUACUAAAUAUUUUCUUUUAAGGGCUUCUCUUACAAAUAAAACCAGGACUGUAUUUUGUGCAAUGCUUUUAAAAUUGCAGUCUUCAAAAUAUGUAAAAACAUAUUUUCUGCAAUACUUAAAACUACCUAACAACUAAGACCUUUUGUUUAAUUAAACAACUCUAAUGCAAAUAUUGAUAGAAUUGCAGUUUUUUAUAACAGAAACAUCAUUUGAGUGUGGUGUGUGACUGUUGUGGGCCUUCCUCUUCCCCUUGGUAUCAGAGGCCACAACUUUGGAAAUAACAGAACCCCCAGCUGUGAAUUCUGCCUGAGAUCAGGUUUGUGUCUGGUGGAAGAGUUUACAGCACUCCUGAAAGCAGAGCAGAAAAGGCUUUUUAUAAUGGAAACAUGAUGGACCAAGAACUCCAGUCAUGUU
Oenanthe melanoleuca is the source of this 2616-nucleotide long non-coding RNA. RefSeq lists it as uncharacterized. The transcript is spliced from 3 exons. The record is from RefSeq and is a predicted model, not a curated record. NCBI's taxonomy places the organism in Eukaryota, Metazoa, Chordata, Aves, Passeriformes, Muscicapidae.